This 1226-nucleotide ribosomal RNA is filed under the name Enterobacter asburiae. RNAcentral's name for it is "bacterial LSU rRNA". It matches the Rfam family "Bacterial large subunit ribosomal RNA", at positions 1 to 1259 of the family's 2925-position model. Lineage: Bacteria; Pseudomonadati; Pseudomonadota; Gammaproteobacteria; Enterobacterales; Enterobacteriaceae. The record is from RNAcentral.
GGGUUGUGAGGUUAAGCGACUAAGCGUACACGGUGGAUGCCCUGGCAGUCAGAGGCGAUGAAGGACGUGCUAAUCUGCGAAAAGCGCCGGCGAGGUGAUAUGAACCUUUGACCCGGCGAUGUCCGAAUGGGGAAACCCAGUGCAAUUCGUUGCACUAUCGUUAACUGAAUACAUAGGUUAACGAGGCGAACCGGGGGAACUGAAACAUCUAAGUACCCCGAGGAAAAGAAAUCAACCGAGAUUCCCCCAGUAGCGGCGAGCGAACGGGGAGCAGCCCAGAGUCUGAAUCAGCUUGUGUGUUAGUGGAAGCGUCUGGAAAGUCGCACGGUACAGGGUGACAGUCCCGUACACGAAAGCACACAGGCUGUGAACUCGAAGAGUAGGGCGGGACACGUGGUAUCCUGUCUGAAUAUGGGGGGACCAUCCUCCAAGGCUAAAUACUCCUGACUGACCGAUAGUGAACCAGUACCGUGAGGGAAAGGCGAAAAGAACCCCGGCGAGGGGAGUGAAAAAGAACCUGAAACCGUGUACGUACAAGCAGUGGGAGCACCUUCGUGGUGUGACUGCGUACCUUUUGUAUAAUGGGUCAGCGACUUAUAUUCUGUAGCAAGGUUAACCGUAUAGGGGAGCCGAAGGGAAACCGAGUCUUAACUGGGCGUUAAGUUGCAGGGUAUAGACCCGAAACCCGGUGAUCUAGCCAUGGGCAGGUUGAAGGUUGGGUAACACUAACUGGAGGACCGAACCGACUAAUGUUGAAAAAUUAGCGGAUGACUUGUGGCUGGGGGUGAAAGGCCAAUCAAACCGGGAGAUAGCUGGUUCUCCCCGAAAGCUAUUUAGGUAGCGCCUCGUGAACUCAUCUUCGGGGGUAGAGCACUGUUUCGGCUAGGGGGCCAUCCCGGCUUACCAACCCGAUGCAAACUACGAAUACCGAAGAAUGUUAUCACGGGAGACACACGGCGGGUGCUAACGUCCGUCGUGAAGAGGGAAACAACCCAGACCGCCAGCUAAGGUCCCAAAGUCAUGGUUAAGUGGGAAACGAUGUGGGAAGGCACAGACAGCCAGGAUGUUGGCUUAGAAGCAGCCAUCAUUUAAAGAAAGCGUAAUAGCUCACUGGUCGAGUCGGCCUGCGCGGAAGAUGUAACGGGGCUAAACCAUGCACCGAAGCUGCGGCAGCGACGCGUAUGCGUUGUUGGGUAGGGGAGCGUUCUGUAAGCCGUUGAAGGUGU